RNAcentral lists this long non-coding RNA (214 nucleotides) under Setaria italica (foxtail millet). RNAcentral's name for it is "long non-coding RNA (SITA_LNC000876)". Lineage: Eukaryota; Viridiplantae; Streptophyta; Magnoliopsida; Poales; Poaceae. The record is from RNAcentral.
GAAUCUCUUGGUACUCCGCUAAUGGUUUCCUCAAGGAAUCGAGGAUGAUAACUCAGCUUCUAUCAGGAUCAAUUACUAUUAGGAUCCAGUGGUAACUGUGUGCGUAAAUAUUCAUUAGUCAGAUAAGGAAAAGGAUACUAAGAUAGACGGUAUACGUAUGUACAAACACUUACUUGAAGUUGUAUGGAAAUAGUAUGUAGCUCUUGCCACCUUG